This 460-nucleotide ribosomal RNA is filed under the name uncultured bacterium. Its description in RNAcentral is "partial 16S ribosomal RNA". It matches the Rfam family "Bacterial small subunit ribosomal RNA", at positions 338 to 795 of the family's 1533-position model. The record is from RNAcentral.
CCUACGGGAGGCAGCAGUGAGGAAUAUUGGUCAAUGGACGAGAGUCUGAACCAGCCAAGUAGCGUGAAGGAUGAAGGCCCUGUGGGUUGUAAACUUCUUUUAUAAGGGAAUAAAACGAGGCACGUGUGCCUUUUUGCAUGUACCUUAUGAAUAAGGAUCGGCUAACUCCGUGCCAGCAGCCGCGGUAAUACGGAGGAUCCGAGCGUUAUCCGGAUUUAUUGGGUUUAAAGGGAGCGUAGGUGGGUUGUUAAGUCAGUUGUGAAAGGUUGGGGCUCAACCGUAAAAUUGCAAUUGAUACUGGCAGUCUUGAGUACAGGUGAGGUAGGCGGAAUUCGUGGUGUAGCGGUGAAAUGCUUAGAUAUCGCGAAGAACCCCGAUUGCGAAGGCAGCUUACUAGACUGUGACUGACAUUGAUGCUCGAAAGUGUGGGUAUCGAACAGGAUUAGAUACCCUAGUAGUC